AAUGCAGCCAAACCCAAAGAUCACAUCUUCAGUGUUGUGGUUUUUUUUAUCUGGUUGCAAACAUUAAAUAUUUGAACCUUGUCGCCUUUCUCUGCUGCUGCUGUGCCUCUGAAAGUGAAUCCAAGGUUCAACAAUC
Scomber scombrus (Atlantic mackerel) is the source of this 136-nucleotide small nucleolar RNA. RefSeq annotates it as small nucleolar RNA SNORA68. The transcript has a single exon. The record is from RefSeq and is a predicted model, not a curated record. Lineage: Eukaryota; Metazoa; Chordata; Actinopteri; Scombriformes; Scombridae.